GCUUUCCGAAUGAGUCUUAUUUCUUCAAUUUGAAUCUUUUCUUCAAAACUUCUGCGAUCAACUCUUCAAGACUCCAACUAACUUUACGAAAUUCGCCAACCUAUAAAAUCCUUAACAAUCUCCCCCUUUGGCGAUUUCGUGACAAAAUAAACUAUAAACUCGUACACAACACAGAAACAAUAAAAAGAAGAUCAUCGCAAUCACCAAACGAUAAUCUCCUGCAUGAUCGAUCCAAUAAACGAAAAAUACAAUUUUCAUAAUCUUAAUACAAACUCUAUGACUUAGACACGGAGUCUUGAAGUCUUGAAUUAUUCCUGCAAAAACAUUCUCAAAACAUAAUCAAGAUUUGUA
This 351-nucleotide long non-coding RNA is filed under the name Ananas comosus (pineapple). RNAcentral's name for it is "long non-coding RNA (ACOM_LNC042620)". The record is from RNAcentral. Lineage: Eukaryota; Viridiplantae; Streptophyta; Magnoliopsida; Poales; Bromeliaceae.